This 415-nucleotide long non-coding RNA is filed under the name Sorghum bicolor (sorghum). RNAcentral describes it as "long non-coding RNA (SBIC_LNC004343)". The record is from RNAcentral. Lineage: Eukaryota; Viridiplantae; Streptophyta; Magnoliopsida; Poales; Poaceae.
UACCUAUUUAUAAAAGGAGAAAAUUUCAGUCUGCACGUACUUUUCUGCCCUGCCUAUCCGUCCGCCAUGUCCCUUUCGGUCUAGAAUCGGCACCGGUACGUUGUAGAGGAGGAAAAAAAGAAUAGAAGCUUUUUUAGGGUUUCCAAUGUAAAAUCUUCUAUACACACUAGAGUAUGUUAAAAAUAAAGAAAGUAUAUGGACAUAAGUGCAAAUCUGUCAACCAAUAUAUCCCGCCCUAUCCACAAUCGGCUACUGUUGGAAGAGCCACAUCCGGCCCGUACAGAGACUGCUGAAAGAAGAAAAAAAAGAACAGAAGAUUUUUUAGGGUUUCUAAUGCAAAAUCUUCUAUAAAAAUUAAUAAAUAUAUAGUACUUCAUAUAAAAAUCUAAAAAUUACAAAAUAAAUUUUGUUCAGC